AACGAACGCUGGCGGCAUGCCUAACACAUGCAAGUCGAACGAGACCUUCGGGUCUAGUGGCGCACGGGUGCGUAACGCGUGGGAACCUGCCCUUAGGUUCGGAAUAACUCCCCGAAAGGGGUGCUAAUACCGGAUAAUGUCUUCGGACCAAAGAUUUAUCGCCUUUGGAUGGGCCCGCGUUGGAUUAGCUAGUUGGUAGGGUAAAAGCCUACCAAGGCGACGAUCCAUAGCUGGUCUGAGAGGAUGAUCAGCCACACUGGGACUGAGACACGGCCCAGACUCCUACGGGAGGCAGCAGUGGGGAAUAUGGGACAAUGGGCGAAAGCCGGAUCCGGCAGUGCCGCGUGAGUGAUGAAGGCCUUAGGGUUGUAAAGCUCUUUUACCCGGGAUGAUAAUGACAGAACCGGGAGAAUAAACUCCGGCGAACUCCUU
Molecule: ribosomal RNA, 432 nt
Filed under: uncultured bacterium
Lineage: Bacteria
Description: partial 16S ribosomal RNA
Rfam family: Bacterial small subunit ribosomal RNA
Source: RNAcentral